GACGAACGCUGGCGGCGUGCUUAACACAUGCAAGUCGAACGGAAAGGCCCUGCUUUUGUGGGGUGCUCGAGUGGCGAACGGGUGAGUAACACGUGAGUAACCUGCCCUUGACUUUGGGAUAACUUCAGGAAACUGGGGCUAAUACCGGAUAGGAGCUCCUGCUGCAUGGUGGGGGUUGGAAAGUUUCGGCGGUUGGGGAUGGACUCGCGGCUUAUCAGCUUGUUGGUGGGGUAGUGGCUUACCAAGGCUUUGACGGGUAGCCGGCCUGAGAGGGUGACCGGCCACAUUGGGACUGGGAUACGGCCCGGACUCCUACGGGAGGGAGCAGUGGGGAAUAUUGCACAAUGGGCGGAAGCCUGAUGCAGCAACGCCGCGUGCGGGAUGACGGCCUUCGGGUUGUAAACCGCUUUCGCCUGUGACGAAGCGUGAGUGACGGUAAUGGGUAAAGAAGCACCGGCUAACUACGUG
Molecule: ribosomal RNA, 468 nt
Filed under: uncultured bacterium
Lineage: Bacteria
Description: partial 16S ribosomal RNA
Rfam family: Bacterial small subunit ribosomal RNA
Source: RNAcentral